This is a non-coding RNA of Spirochaetaceae bacterium 4572_59, 73 nucleotides long. NCBI's taxonomy places the organism in Bacteria, Pseudomonadati, Spirochaetota, Spirochaetia, Spirochaetales, Spirochaetaceae. The record is from Rfam.
GCCUCUGUAGCUCAGUUGGUAGAGUACGACCAUGGUAAGGUUGGGGUCAUCGGUUCAAAUCCGAUCGGAGGCU